Long non-coding RNA from Leptinotarsa decemlineata (Colorado potato beetle), 521 nucleotides. NCBI's taxonomy places the organism in Eukaryota, Metazoa, Arthropoda, Insecta, Coleoptera, Chrysomelidae. The record is from RefSeq and is a predicted model, not a curated record.
AAAGGUGUGUAGAUCAUGCAAAGAAGUAACUUUCUGACACAAACUCUCAGUUAGAUAACACAUGCUCAUAACUUACUUUUCCUUUCGGUAACCUAGCGACAAAUUGUUUAUCAAACUGUCUAUGACAACUUGAAAUACGUAAGGACAGUUAAAUUUUUAAUCUGAGAUUGAAAAAUGCUAAAUCAUGUUCUAUUGAAAAGGUCGACCUUUUCAUCCCGCAGUGACAAAAAAUCAUAUACUUACCACGGGCGAUUAGUACGACAUCCUCGCCCGCGAUUUUGUCACCAGAGCGGAAGGCGAGGUUAUGACAAGCUGCAAAGGAAGAAAGUGAGUGAAGAUGAUAAAAUUAAAGUGAAAAAGACUUUAGCCUUCUAAAAUUAUCAGGCAUUCAAAUGUCAAUAGACCAAUUGUUGGAUUUGAAGAUUGUAUAUAGUAAUAGUACUUUUGUAAAACUUCAUCUUGAUAGUCCCAACUGAAAGUGGUCUGUACCGUUACACAUAAAUUCAGCAUUUCAACAGGAA